This is a long non-coding RNA of Prunus dulcis (almond), 1021 nucleotides long. RefSeq lists it as uncharacterized. The transcript has 4 exons. Lineage: Eukaryota; Viridiplantae; Streptophyta; Magnoliopsida; Rosales; Rosaceae. The record is from RefSeq and is a predicted model, not a curated record.
AGCGACCGCCUAGCCGCCUAGCUACCGCCUAACCGCCUAGCCUCCUGGCCGCCUAGCCACCCGCCUAGGCCGAUUUUUCAAACACUGCGAUUGACUGAAAUACUUGAAGUUGGAUGAUGUUUUCACAGAAGAUGAGGGGUUUUUCAAAUGGAUCUCAUGUUCAUGGGAUGAUGUAUGGAUUGGCCAAAGUUUGGGGAAAUCUACGUCUUUAGAAAAAGCCGAGUUUUUUCUGGAAUCUAAUCGCUGUUGCUUUAAAAUAUUGUCUGAGGUUCUCUGGAGUAUAAACAAGGUUGAAACUCUUGUUCUAAACAGAGCGACCACCAUGGCUGUCUUCUAUGGAGAUUUCAUGCCACUGCUAUUAGAGAAUGUUUGUUAUUUGUCUAUUCAUGUUGGAAGCUUUCGUGAUAUAAGUUGAAGGAAUGGUCUCCAUUUUUGAAGGAAUGUGUAAUUUGAGUACUUUGGAAAUAAUGUCUGACCCAGAAUUCUUUGAACCUAAAACUGAUUGUUCUGGGUUUAAUAUGGGAUAUUGCAGAUUGCAAAACAUUUAUUUUAUUCAUCAACUUAAGGAAGUAACCAUAGAGCUUUCCAUUGGAUCUAAUGGAAUUCAGUUUGCAAAAUAUGUGCUCGAGCAUGCUCAGAAUUUGAAGAAAAUUACAGUUUUUCAUUCACCUCAGCAGUCAAAAGCUGUAAGGAAGAUAACAAAAAGCAUGAUUGCUUCCAGUGCCAAACUUGUCUUUUUGGAGGAUAGAGAAAGAGGAAGAUAAUCAUAAUCUGAACAGCUCACCAGAUGAAGAUAAUCAUAAUAAAAGCGAGAGGAUUUCUAGUGCCACAGUUGUCUUUCAGGAAGAUGAUCAAAGAGGAAACAAAAAGCAAAGACUAAGAUAAUGUAGCUUUACAAGGGCAUCUCUCCUCCUGCAUUGAGCUCAACAACAGCAAUUUUUAGGCAUUUUAUGUUGCAAUGUUGAACUAUUAUGUAUUUGACAUGUAAUGUAGGCACCAAACUCUGUUUUGGUCUGUUCUA